AUAUAUAAUUCCUAUUAUGCCCUUAAUAAAAAUUAGAUUUUUAAUGCCUCUUUAAUGCUUCUUUAAUGCUGAAGGGACUUUUUGGGAAAAAGUAAAAAUGGAGUGAUUUCCGCCUCAUGGGAAAGUAACUUUCCCAUGUUUCUCAUGGGAAAGACUUUCCCAUGAAAUGUGGGAAUCACAUUCCCAUGGGAAUACAACUUUCCCAUCUCUCUCCUUUGAAAACUCCAACCAAACAAGAGGCAUUUCAUUACUUUCCCGUUGACCACACUUUCCCCCCUCCUUUUCCUGCGAACCAAACGAGCCCUAAGGACACAAGAAGUCAUCUUAUUAAUCUGUGGGGGAUUCACAAAGCUGACUGCAUAUGCAUGGGUCAACCAAGCCAUGCUCUUUGCGCCCCCCCCC
RNAcentral lists this long non-coding RNA (402 nucleotides) under Phoenix dactylifera (date palm). RNAcentral describes it as "long non-coding RNA (PDAC_LNC020892)". Lineage: Eukaryota; Viridiplantae; Streptophyta; Magnoliopsida; Arecales; Arecaceae. The record is from RNAcentral.